UGGGGAAUAUUGGACAAUGGGCGCAAGCCUGAUCCAGCAAUGCCGCGUGUGUGAAGAAGGCCUUCGGGUUGUAAAGCACUUUUAUCAGGAGCGAAACGCUGUCGGCUAAUACCCGGCGGAACUGACGGUACCUGAGGAAUAAGCACCGGCUAACUUCGUGCCAGCAGCCGCGGUAAUACGAAGGGUGCAAGCGUUAAUCGGAAUUACUGGGCGUAAAGCGUGCGUAGGCGGUUUCUUAAGUCUGCUGUGAAAUCCCCGGGCUCAACCUGGGAAUGGCAGUGGAUACUGGGAGGCUAGAGUGUGUCAGAGGGUGGUGGAAUUCCCGGUGUAGCGGUGAAAUGCGUAGAGAUCGGGGGGAACAUCAGGUGGCGAAGGCGGCCACCUGGGACAACACUGACGCUGAGGCACGAAAGCGUGGGGAGCAAACAGGAUUAGAUACCCUGGUAGUCCACGCCCUAAACGAUGCGAACUGGAUGUUGGUCUCAACUCGGAGAUCAGUGUCGAAGCUAACGCGUUAAGUUCGCCGCCUGGGGAGUACGGUCGCAAGACUGAAACUCAAAUGAAUUGAC
RNAcentral lists this ribosomal RNA (569 nucleotides) under uncultured bacterium. Its description in RNAcentral is "partial 16S ribosomal RNA". It matches the Rfam family "Bacterial small subunit ribosomal RNA", at positions 355 to 914 of the family's 1533-position model. The record is from RNAcentral.